This is a long non-coding RNA of Bombus terrestris (buff-tailed bumblebee), 798 nucleotides long. RefSeq lists it as uncharacterized. The record is from RefSeq and is a predicted model, not a curated record. The transcript is spliced from 4 exons. Lineage: Eukaryota; Metazoa; Arthropoda; Insecta; Hymenoptera; Apidae.
GAUUUCCAUUAGCCUGUGAUUCGCCUAGCGUGUCGAUUUUCCUUGUGCGUGAGAAACCACCCCUUUUCACGGUCGAGCCAUCACCGCAGACCGCGCCCCUAGCGCGUGUACGAGCGUCGCGGCUGUAAAAGCCAGCGUGUAUAGUUAUUCGUUAUUGCAUAACUUUCGUCAGAGAUUGGCCGGGUUCGAGCGUAGUUAGUAUAUCGAACGAAGCCGGAUUCUGUGAAAGGUGGACCUAGGCGCGGCCAAGGACCGGUUGCACGUAAACACAACCGAGCUGCUGCUAUGAUAUCUUUCUAACUGUGACAUAUGCUAAUUAUUGCUCAUGCGAGAAAAGAAGGAAAUUCUUGAAAGAGACAGCACGAUGCUUGAACUUGGGGAAUGAUGUUCGAAUAUCAACUUUAAAAACUGGGAUAAUCGGUGAACUUUUUUCAACUAAGAUAAUUGACACAAUCUUUCUAGCGUUUGAUGGAACGUUCUGAAAUUAAGGUCGAACAGCUUUACACUGGGUAGAGAAUCGUCGCUUGUAAACUAUGAAGGAGGUCUAUUUAUUAGAGUAGCCGAAUAUAAUCAACAAAGGGAACGAGCACUACGCCACUGAAGGAAAAAGUCAAUCGAGAGACAGCUGUUAGGAACACAUGUGGUAAAUUGACUUGGUAUUUGCCAGGGAUUCGUGAAAACGUGAAAAGCGCGCCGAAAACGUCAUCUAGAGGAAUUCCGGAAUCCGCGAAACGUGUGGAUCGUUUGUGACAAAAAGAUUGUGCUCGGAGAAUGACGAGAAAAUUUGUUUGUACAUUA